Chinchilla lanigera (long-tailed chinchilla) is the source of this 1264-nucleotide long non-coding RNA. RefSeq lists it as uncharacterized. Lineage: Eukaryota; Metazoa; Chordata; Mammalia; Rodentia; Chinchillidae. The record is from RefSeq and is a predicted model, not a curated record. The transcript has 3 exons.
UGAGCUGGGUGACAAUAAUCCCACAAGUCUCUGAGUCCUGUCCACCCUUGCCAACCCUCCACUCAUGGUACCAUGCUGAGAAUGAGGUAGAGGACAAGAGAGGGAGGCAAAGAGGUACUCGUCAGAAAACUGACAAGGCUUGGUGGCUGACUGGCUGGAGAAACAGUAAAUGACCCAUCCGUGAGGAUUCCAAAGUAUUCAGCCUGAGAACAAGGAGAAUUGGUGAACAGCAAAGACAGAAGUACGGGUCUGGAAUGGAGCAGUACGCAACUUGCCUCGGGAAUCGUGUUUGCUAGUAACAAGGUCCAGCCAGGGUUGCUUAAACACGUGAGUGUUUAAGUCUGUAUAAGACUUCACAGUCGUACGUCUGUAGCUCCAGGGCUAGUUUAGCAGCUCUGCUGCCCUUGGGACAUUGCUGUCUUUCGCUCUAUCAUCUUUAAAUUCUCCUUCUGGCUCAAAAUAGCUACUGGAAUUCCACUUGCUACAUCUGAAUUCCAGGAAGUCAUUGAAAAAUGAGUGCGGGACCAAAAGGGCAUAGGAUUCCCACCCUUUCAAGGAAUCCUCCUAGAAAUCCCCUGCCACCCUUGUGCUUGUGUCUCAGUAGCCAAAACUUAGUCACAGGGCUUUACAUGGCUACACCAAGCUGCAAGGGAGACCGGCAAAUGCAGGGUUUUUAGCUAGGCUUGUUGUCCGGGGCCGUUACUGAGGAAGAAAGGAAGGACAGACAGUGGGAAGCAACCAGCAGGUUUUGUUAAUCUUUGUUCAGUGGCACUGGAAGGAAAGGCCUCCGAAAGCCCUGCCAACCAUGGAAGAAAGUGCAAACCAUGCUUUCUGGUACCUCACAGCGAUCCUCUACCGGGUCCCGGUUCCUUACAUGAACCGCUGCUGAGCUUUUCAAUCGCCGUGAAGAGGAAACGGAUUCCUGGCUCUCUGGCCACUCUCAGCGUGGAGGAUUUCUCCAAAGCUGGUUCAUCAGAAUGCAGCAGCUCCUGCCUGCAUCCAGGAGAGGUGCCAUAAAAAUAGAUGAAAGCUAGGAGUUCAGCGCAGCAAUUUAGGAAACAAUUUGGGCCUUUCAGAAAUUAAUGUUAUUUAAAGAUGCAGAUUCAUCCUCCCCAGUGGCCUCCUGGGAGUGCUUCCCGAACCAUCUGGUUCAAUCAGCUCAUUUUCUUGCCCUAAUCCUCUGGCUCUCCUGUGUGUAUGUACAGCAAAUGCUCCUGGGGAGCUCGCAGCAUGAAUAAAAAGCAAAGACCUUUCUCUUUCGCCA